UGGAGGUCCGCACCAAUAAGCGUUGAAAAGCUUCUGGAUGAGCCGAGUGUAGGAGUGAAAGGCCAAUCAAACUUGGAGAUAGCUCGUACUCCCCGAAAGGCAUUUAGGUGCCGCGUCGGAUGGUCACCGUGAGAGGUAGAGCGACCGAUAGGACAAGAGGGCUUCACCGCCUAUCGAGUCCUGACGAACUCCGAAUGCUCACGGUCUGCAGUCCGGCAGUAAGGGGGCGGGUGCUAAGGUCCGUCCCCGAGAGGAGAAGAAUCCAGACCGCCGUCUAAGGUCCCGGAGUUCUGCCUGAGUUAGUCUAACGAAGUCUGGUCCCUAUGACAGCUAGGAUGUUGGCUUGGAAGCAGCCAUUCAUUCAAAGAGUGCGUAACAGCUCACUAGUCGAGGGUCCGGGCAUGGAUAAUAAUCGGGUAUAAGGCAGACACCGAAGGCGCGGGAUAGCAUUUAAGAAAGUAUCGGUAGGGGAGCAUACUCACAGCGUCGAAUGGUGUACGUAAGUUAUCCUGGAGCGGUGAGUAAAGCAAAUGUAGGAAUAAGUAACGAUAAGGAGGGUUAGAUUCCCUCCCGCUGUAAGACCAAGGUUUCCCGGGCAAUGCCAAUCAGCCCGGGGUCAGUCGGGUCCUAAGUCUAAGCCGAACGGCGAUGGCGAUGGCAGAGACGGUUAAUAUUCCGUCACUGCCGCAUGGGGCGACGUGGAGACGGAGCAGUGAAACCACCGCGGGGCGACGGAAGUCCCCGUUGAAGAGUGUAGGUGUUGAGGAUGGCAGGCAAAUCCACCGUCCGAGCUGAACUUGAUAGUAUGGAGUCUUCUUCGGAAGAAUCCAAUAGUGUGGGUAAUCAUACUCCCGAGAAAAUCCGCUAAGCUUAACCCAUGCGGCACCCGUACCGCAAACGGACACACGUGGUCGGGUAGAACAUACUAAGGCGUUGAGAGAUUCAUGGUUAAGGAACUAGGCAAAUUGACCCUGUAACUUCGGGAUAAAGGGUCCUCGUGAUGAGCGAGGCGCAGAGAAUAGGUCCAGGCAACUGUUUAACAAAAACACAGGGCUGUGCAAACUCGAAAGAUGACGUAUACAGCCUGACACCUGCCCGGUGCCGGAAGGUUAAGAGGAGAUGUCACUCGCAAGAGGAAGCAUUGAAUUGAAGCCCCGGUAAACGGCGGCCGUAACUAUAACGGUCCUAAGGUAGCGAAAUUCCUUGUCGGGUAAGUUCCGACCUGCACGAAUGGUGUAAUGAUCCGGACGCUGUCUCAACCAUGAGCCCAGUGAAAUUGUAGUAUCGGUGAAGAUGCCGAUUACCCGCGAUGGGACGAAAAGACCCCGUGAACCUUUACUACAGCUUAGCAUUGACCUUGGUCAUCCGAUGUGUAGGAUAGGCCGGAGGCUUCGAAGCGGGAGCGCCAGCUUUCGUGGAGCCAUCCUUGAAAUACGGCCCUUUGGCUGUCUGAGGUCUAACGCGUGAUACGCGGACACUGCUUGGUGGGUAGUUUGACUGGGGU
This 1504-nucleotide ribosomal RNA is filed under the name human gut metagenome. Its description in RNAcentral is "bacterial LSU rRNA". It matches the Rfam family "Bacterial large subunit ribosomal RNA", at positions 767 to 2280 of the family's 2925-position model. The record is from RNAcentral.